GUUCAAAUGAGGAAGGGCUUACGGUGGAUACCUAGGUGCCCAAAGACAAGGAAGGGCAUGGUAAGUGACGAAAUGCUUUGGGGAGUUGAAAAUGAGCAUAGAUCCGGAGAUUCCUGAAUAGGUUAACCUUUUUAACUGUUGUUGAAUCCAUGGGCAGGCAAGAGACAACCUGGCGAACUGAAACAUCUUAGUAGCCAGAGGAAUAGAAAGAAAAAUUGAUUCCCAUAGUAGCGGCAAGCGAAAUGGGAGCAGCCUAAACCGUGAAAACAGGGUUGUGGGAGAGCACAAUAUAAGCUCUGUGCUGCUAGGCGAAGCAGUUGAGUCCUGCACCCUAGAUGGUGAGAGUCCAGUAACCAAAAGAAUCAUCGGGUUACGCUCUAACCUGAGUAGCAUGGGGUACGUGGAAUCCCAUGUGAAUCAACAAGGACCACCUUGCAAGGAUAAAUACUCCUGGGUGACUGAUAGCGAAGUAGUACCGUGAGGGAAAGGUGAAAAGAACCCCCAUCGGGGAGUGAAAUAGAACAUGAAACCGUAA
Picea glauca (white spruce) is the source of this 535-nucleotide non-coding RNA. Lineage: Eukaryota; Viridiplantae; Streptophyta; Pinopsida; Pinales; Pinaceae. The record is from Rfam.